GAAAAGCCCCCAACAUCCUGUCAACAUUUGAAACUUAAAUUCAAAUUCCUUCUCAAUACCUACUUGAAAUUCAAAUCUCCCAUACAAUCAAAAUAUUGUGAAAUUUGAAGCCUUCAUCUUGCAACCAUCGGGAAUGGAACUUGGAUGAAGCAUUGGAUUGAUGAUGGAUGGUCAUGCAUCCAAUAGAAAAUUAGCACACCCAGAUGUACCAUGAAUCUACAUGGUAAGGGGAGAAGAUGGCAAGCAAAUUCGAAGAAUUCAACCUUAGAAGCAUAUCCAUGCUUGACAAAAUUUUUCCAGCUCAUGCAAAUAAAAUUGUGUUCUCAAUUUUAGUGCAGCCUAUUUCCCAUUCAUCCAGCAAUUCAUAUCAUCUGUUUUGUUUCCCUUUCUUUUUUGUUUUCUUCUGGCGGACCUUCAACGGUCACCGUUCAUUUCCCUUUACCCACUUAUACCGCCUUGGCAGCUCGGCGCCUGUCUUUCUCCUAUUUAAAAUAGCGCGGGUUUGAAAAAAAGAUGAAAAAAAAAAUUGGUAAAAAGCAUAAUGUCACUGCGAUUCUGCGGCGCCCUUCGGCUCCCCUUCUCUUCUCCUCCUCCUCUUGUCCCUGUCAACAGUCACGUUCAGAAUCCUGUAAAGAGCUUGAGAUGCUCCGCAGAGAAACAGACCCUCCAGUCCCUCGAUACUAGAAAGUCCUAGUUUCGACAUGAAGAGAGACAACGAGAAAUAUGAGGCAGAUGAUGGAAUUGAUGCAGAAACAAGACAAGAGAUCGGCUGUAAGUCGAUUCGAUUAUGAUAAAGGAAACAUUGGACGUUAUUCGGUUGCAUCACUUCUCCAAUUUCUACAUAAAUGUCAGAGCAUGAGAGACUUGAAACACUUGCUUGCACCCUUGAUUGUUGCGGGGCUUUUCAAGGAUGUUUUGGCGGUGCGCAAAGUGGUGACAUUUUUGAGUACAAGGAUAGGAUGGUUGGAAGAGGUGGCUUUAUUAUUGAAGCAGGUGGAUGAUCCUUAUCCUUUCAUAUGGAACACAUUUAUUAGAGGUUACGAACAAAGUCAUAGACCAUGGAAGGCAAUAGAUUUGUACAAUCAGAUGUUACACAACAAUGUAUCUCCUGAUAAGUUCACCUUUCCUUUUGUCCUCAAAGCUUGUGCCAGUUCUCGAGCACUUAAAGAAGGAGAGCAAAUUCACUGUCAGAUACUUAAGACUCCACUGCACGCAGACCUGUUUGUGCAGGGUUCUUUGAUUUUUAUGUAUGCCGGUUGUGGGGAGAUUGAUGCUGCACGGGCUUCGUUUGAUGGGAUGCCGCACAAAAAUUUGAUUAGUUGGAACAUGAUGAUGGAUGGGUAUGUCAAAUAUGGAAAUGUUAAUAUUGCAUUAGACUUGUUUGAUCAAAUGCCCGAACGUGACAUCUUCUCUUGGAAUGUGAUGAUCGAUGGGCUUGCAAAAUGUGGGCAGAUUGAAUUUGCAAGACAGUUGUUUGAUGAGAUGCCUGAUAGAGAUAUUGUUUCAUGGAAUUCCAUGAUUGACGGAUAUGCUAGAUGUGGAAAUAUGGUAGCUGCAAGGAAGUUAUUUGAUCAAGUUCCCUUUAAAGAUGAAGUCACCUGGGGCAUUAUGCUUAAUGGAUAUGCAAGAUGCGAUCGAAUAGGUAUUUCUCAUAGUUGGUUCGAAAAAAUGCCCUUUAAGAAUUUGAUCUCUUGGAAUUCUUUGAUAAGUGGGUACGUUAAAUGUAACAAAAUCAGUGAAGCACAUAAGCUAUUUGAGUUAAUGCCGUCUAGGAACUUGACUUCAUGGAAUAUCAUGCUUGAUGCCUAUGUGAAACAUGGUGAGAUGGAACUAGCUUGUCAGCUUUUUAAUACAAUGCCGGUCAAGAACGUCGUCUCUUGGAACAUUAUGAUCGGUGGACAUGCUAGAGUUGGAAGACUGAAAGUAGCAAGGAAGCUUUUUGAUGCCAUGCCAUAUAGAGACAUGAUUUCAUGGAAUGUGAUGAUAUCUGGCUACAAAGAAAAUGGGCUUUCAAAAGAGGCUAUGGAACUGUAUAUUGAUAUGCACUUGCUAGGAGAAAGACCUGAUUGCUCCACUUUAGCUAUUGUUCUUUCUGCUAUCGCUGAUUUAGGCCUUUUUCUCCAAGGUAGAUGGCUUCAUGCGUAUGUUGAUAGGAACAAGUUCCCACUGAACGGUGUCAUUGGUGUUGCUCUCAUAGACAUGUACUCCAAGUGUGGUUAUGCGGAUAUUGCAAUGAGAAUAUUUGACGGCAUCCCUCAAAAAUCCAAAGAUCAUUGGAAUGCGAUGAUAUCAGGACUCGCAGUACAUGGCUAUGGGAGACUAGCUAUCUCCUUAUUUGAAGAUAUGGAACAGUCAUUUGUUGGACCAAAUGAUAUAACUUUCAUUGGUGUUCUAAGCGCAUGCAGUCAUGCAGGCUUAGUACGCGAGGGUCAUCACUAUUUUAACCUUAUGAACCACAAAUAUGGAAUAACUCCGAAAAUCCAACACUAUGGUUGUAUGGUUGACCUUCUAAGCCGUGCAGGGCAUCUUGAUGCAGCAGUUGCACUAGUGAACCACAUGCCAAUGAGAGCCAAUGAUAUUGUUUGGAGAGCACUUCUGGGAGCUGCUAGGAACCUUGGAAACAUUGAAAUUGCUGAGCAUGCAGCGAGGCAACUUAUUGAGCUGGUGCCAGAUGAUAGUAGCUCUUAUGCAUUACUCUCUAGCAUAUAUGUAUACAAAGGCCAAUAUGAAAAUGCAAGGGACAUGUGGAAGAUUAUGAAGGAGAAAGGGGUGGUAAAGAAUCCUGGUUGUAGCUGCAUUGAAUUACAAGGUGUUCUCCAUGAGUUUACUGCAGGAGACACUUCACAUCCUCAAAUCAUGGAGAUAUAUCUUCUACUAAAUAAUAUGACACAAAGGCUGAUGUUAGCAGAUCAAACAUUGGUACAGAACCGUGGGGACUGAUGUUGGGAAGAUUGUAAUUGAAUUGGCAAAGGAGCACGAAACUUCAGACUAUCAGCAUCGUUGGUGAUAAGCCCGGCAUUCCUGAAACAAUUAAAGAGCUUAAGGCCCUUGGUGGGGAUAUAGUUGUUCCAGAAUGCUAUACGAAAACAUGGUACAUGAAGUGACAAGCGAGUUGAAUGAGCCCCUCUGUAGAUAUCCAUUUCAGUAAUGGCUGCCAAGCUACUGCGGUCAGCAAGGAACUGGUGGAUGGAGGAACUCUUUUUUCAUGCAGCAAAAACCUGCCAAAGGAUUUUGUUUGUGGACCAGCUCGUAAAGCAAUUAAGCGGGACACGUGUGCAGAGGAAAAGAAGCUUAAAGUGCUGUACUUUUAGGGGAAGGAGAAAGAUAUGAGCCCAGCCACCUCCCUAGCGGCGGCCCGAUGAGUGGUGAUCUCUCGUGAUGGCGGAUGGUCCGACGGCCUCGGAUUCUCAGUGAUCAAGGUCAUCCGAUGACGGCAGCCGGUCCGGUGGAGAGGAAAGAAAGAAACAAAAACAAGAGAUGUCCGGUCUCCUAUAAAAUCCGAUAGCCGACAACCAAAUCCGGCCUUCAAAAGCUUCAGGGGGUUUGGGAAAGAAAAGAAGGAGAAGAAGUGAUCCUUAUCUUGUCUCUGAUGAGAAAUCGGCAGCGAAUCAUCGAAGAACUUUGACGGAAAUCUAAAGAAGAUCUUAUGGGUUUCGCCGACAAUUUGAUUGGACAGUUAGACAAAACAUUAAGGAGGAUGGGGGGAAUGAUUUAUAGAUCUGGAUCCUAGGGCUUGCUGGAGUUUGAACGGCUCAGGACUCCCUAUCGAUCGGACUUCAAAGAGGACUCUUUUGGGAGUCCUCUUCCAUUCUUUUCUUUUUUUUGCCCUGCUUUAGAUUGGUGCAGAAAAGAAAAUCUAGGUUAUUACAUCACAUGCUUUGCUCUUCGUUCAUUUGAAUUUUGAACCGAUGAGAUUUGCUUUUUCCUGCUUCCAAUAAGAAGUAAAAUCUCAAGGAAAACGAGCAAUCUUUUAUGGAAAUAUACUCUGAAAGAAAGAGUUGCGCUGAAAUGUAAGCACCGAAAGAAGUAGCUUCUUUACUGAUUCACAUCAACCACUGCUCUCUGUUCCUCUUUCCUCUGAUGAGGACUGUCGUGGAAAGUAGUGUAAAGCUGUUGUCUGAAGGACGGGCAAAUUUAAUGGUCCAUUUUAUGCUUUGGCGUGUUGAGUCAAAGACUUGAUAGCAUGUUAACGAACAUCUCGGCCAAGUCGAGAACCUCGUAAUGUACUCUCUUUGACUAGGGUCGCCUCGACUUGGACUCAUUAUUUACAUUUAUAGAAGUGGAACACAACAAAAGCAUGUGUGAUCCUGUAGCAAUAAAUGGAUUGUAAAUUAACAUUUUUUUUAUGAAAAACAAUUUUAUAAAUUUUAUUAUGUAGAACUGUUUAUAUUUUCA
Elaeis guineensis (African oil palm) is the source of this 4395-nucleotide non-coding RNA. The record is from RefSeq and is a predicted model, not a curated record. Lineage: Eukaryota; Viridiplantae; Streptophyta; Magnoliopsida; Arecales; Arecaceae.